AGAAUUAUAUACAUGAUUUGAUAACAAAAGAGAAAAUGUACAUUUAUGGGUUCAUUCCUGUUCUGGUAAAGUGCAUUUUCUAUUGAAUAGGGCAGAAAGCCGAGAAAGACCAUGGGAGUAUGGAACAGCCGGGAACACUAAAGGAAUGCAGACACAUAGACGCCUAGAAAUGACUGGACAUACAAAGGUCAGAGUGAUAUAUGAAGGAGGGAGUCAGCCAAAUGACCCCAGAUGAAUUACAGGUAUCAGUUACAUCGCAAGGGAGACACAAGUCUGUUUAAUCUUAUACAAACAUAUGAAGAGAAGGCGACCAGAACAGCUAGUCACAGGAAAGGGGGAUGUAUAUUAUCUUUAGGUCAAAAGAAGGGUCUUGUAAUCAUUUUUAAUCUGACUGAAAGCAGAUGUGGGCGUUACUGGGCUGAACAAGCAGGAAGCACGGAUUGGGAUGUAACUUAAUUUGCAUAUGGGAGGGACUUAUAUGGUAGGUGUAUAACUCAGAGCGAGGGCUCUGAAAAAAAGUGUGUGUGUUUCGCGGACGGCUCCGGCUUAUGAUACUGUUGUAUUAAAAGUCUACAUUGAUUUUCAUAAAGUUCUUGGAUGUGUCAUUUUUUAACCGAUUUGCCACUACAGACUUGGCGAGCGUUGCCAGGAGUGAUGAGAGACCGGGGCGUUCCUGGCUGACGGCGGGGUCUUUUGAGCGAUCUGGCAAACACGGGUGGCCACCUAACUAUAGCAAGUAUGUAUGUUUCCAGGAGAAGAGUACAUAAGACGCCAGAUGGAAGGGCAUGGGCUGAAUUCUGGAGACUGAGUGUACAUCAAGAUACACCAGGCUGGGGAUAUACUUCUUACAGCACCUGCAGUGGUAAAGAUCGUCAUGUCUCUCUUUGAUGGGUGCAUAAGUUUCACAAGAAGUAAGGUCCAGCUGAAUAAUGGGUGAGCUUGAAAACACCAUGACAGAGGACGUGAAACAAAACAAAAGAGAGAGAGUGAGAGACUAGAUUCCACUGUAGAUAUACUGGGUUGAGUUUGGGGGUUAUUUGGUUUAUUUGAUAAUGUAUCAUGUGAAUAAGGAUAGAUAUUAGGUUAGUUGGACCUAAACUACAUGUUGAAGGCUCGAUGUGGAAGCCCAUUCAGUGUUGAAUUACUUCAAGAAGAAAUAAUGUUGAUUAAGGUUAUGCACAUGCUUAUCAGUUGAUAUAGAGCAAAUAGGGAACUAAGUAAAAAAAAAUGACAUGAUUUGGGAACACCUCUCAGAACCUGUGGCCGAAAGGGGAAGACUGGAUAAAAGCAUGAGGAAGCUAAUUAGGGCCUCCAUUUUUGUAGAGUCCAGCAGAAACACAUCCUGAAAGCAUAGAGUCGGGUGAAGAGAGAGUGGGAAUUGUCAUGGUCUUAGAUUUCAGUAUUUAUGAAUACAGUCAUGCAUAACACAUAACAUUGUCAAUACUGUUAUGUUGUGUCUUUUGUUUUACAAGUCUUUUGUUUAGGAAACCAGAUGGAGAAGGGUUCGCCAGCUUCAGCUGGAAUGUCAGUUUGUGUGAUGAGUGAUGGAAGUAAGAGAAUGUAUGGUGUAAUCGUAGAACAGAGGCCAUAAGUCUUUAAGUAUGAAUGCCCCACAGAAAGAAGGCAGAAACCUGAACCAGGACGAGAGGUUCCACAUCUGAUGAUCCAAGGAGACCAGAAGGCCCUCUCCCAGUGAUACCAGGAGAUCCAGUCUACGGUCGAGUGUUCCGAAGGAAGUGGGAUCAGCCGAGGAGAGAAGGACCCUACGAGGUGGCAACGGCCACAAUCACGGCCGUCCAAGUGAAAGGAAGCAAGACGUGGUAUCAUCUAAACCACUGCACCCGAGUCCCGACGGAGAGAAGGACACAACCAUACAGAGAUGAGGACACAGAGGAUGCUGAUUCACCAGAGGGGACCCCGGAGGGAGCAGGAGCAGAGGAAUCGAUCAAAGCCCCGGGGAGGACUCAAGAAAAUGGCAGACCAGAUACAACGAGUGCAUCAGCUAACACACUCAGAAGAAGCACCAGGGGAAAAGAGCCUGAAAAGAAAAGAGCCUGAAAAGAAAAGAGACAAACGACCAAAGUUUCCUCCAGUAUGGCCAGAAAGCCCAGAAGUGGGAGGGGGUAACAUGUCUGCCACUCCUGAUGAUAUACCUGUUGGGGCAGGCCUCUUUGACAGAAGCACUCUACAGAGGGGCUCCGAGGUAUUGCCUAAAGAAUGGGAACAUCUCUUCCCUGAAAUGGACACCUUCCAAAUGGAAGCCCAGUCCGGCCUGAGGAGGGAGCUUCAGGGGAGGAAAGAAGGAGAGACCCCACUAACGAGAAGGAAAAGUCGAGUGAGCUGAAGAAAAUGGCAAUUUCCCCAAAAAUUGACUUUUCAGCUCUUACCUGAUCUCCAUAAUGAACCAUUGGAAUUAGGACCACGAAA
Oncorhynchus tshawytscha (Chinook salmon) is the source of this 2427-nucleotide long non-coding RNA. RefSeq lists it as uncharacterized. The record is from RefSeq and is a predicted model, not a curated record. Lineage: Eukaryota; Metazoa; Chordata; Actinopteri; Salmoniformes; Salmonidae. The transcript has 2 exons.